AUGGUCAGCUGGCCAGAUAUCUGCAAACCCAAGGACCAGGGCGGUCUUGGGAUUCUGUCCUCUCGGCGCAUGAACAUCGCCCUCUUGACCCGCUGGCUCUGGCGCAUUGCCAAUGGGGAUGGAGGCCUCUGGCUCACUAUCAUCCAGAACAAGUACCUGCCUGGACAGCCACUCGUGUUCUGCCAACGCUCUGGCGGUUCCCAGUUUUGGCAGGCCGUCGUCUAG
RNAcentral lists this ribosomal RNA (225 nucleotides) under Triticum aestivum (bread wheat). Its description in RNAcentral is "partial small subunit ribosomal RNA". Lineage: Eukaryota; Viridiplantae; Streptophyta; Magnoliopsida; Poales; Poaceae. The record is from RNAcentral.